GCUCAGAGUAUAAGCCAAUGGAGCUUGGAAGGCUUCCGCAGAUGGUGUUCAUCAUACGUGGUGUUCUUAAGACCUUGAGUGUGGCUCGUCAGGCGAAGCAUUUGAGUAUGCCGACCAGCUGUCGUGCGGGGGUUCGGCUUGGAGGUCUUAGGCUUCGGCCGAAGGGCUUCCGGCUGUCCCUUUUGAAUGGACGUUCAGAGCUCUUGUGUCUAAUGCGGUUAUGCCCACCACAGCACGUUGUGAGGUCACCCACAGGCUCAAACUGCCGAUCGCGUAUCCAGGACGAUGGCAACGAUGCGUUGUUGAGGAUGGCUCGAGAGAGUCUUCACUCACACGCGUGUCUAGUCCUGGGUCGGGCGGCGACCGAGAUAAACCUGGUACGAUCCUCUUGCGACGAGCUGCUUUCUGGCCAGACCGACGCCCAGGCGCUUCCACUGUGCCGGAAGCGUCAAUCCCAGGCGGUGUGAACCCAGCUGCAUUAUGCAAGGUCUCUCAGCCGGGCGUUGGUCUGAGUGGUGUUAAGUCCAGCACCAUCGGUCACGUCUCGAAACACGGGCCAAGGAGUAUAGCAUGUGUGCAAGUCUAAGGGUCUCACAAAACCCGAAGGCGAAGUGAAAGCAAGACUGUGGCGGGGGAGCUACGGCAAACCCGCCGGCCUAGUGGCGCGUGCGUCGCCUGGCUUUUAGCAGAGCUGAUCCUGUUUUCUCGGUUAAUUCUUGGUGCAGGCGCAAGCUCCGGGCUCACGUACAACACUGGUCACCGCCUUCGUG
This 770-nucleotide ribosomal RNA is filed under the name Niphargus fontanus. Its description in RNAcentral is "partial 28S ribosomal RNA". Lineage: Eukaryota; Metazoa; Arthropoda; Malacostraca; Amphipoda; Niphargidae. The record is from RNAcentral.